This 71-nucleotide transfer RNA is filed under the name Hofstenia miamia. RNAcentral describes it as "tRNA-Arg for anticodon UCU". It matches the Rfam family "tRNA". Rfam says of the family: Transfer RNA (tRNA) molecules are approximately 80 nucleotides in length. Their secondary structure includes four short double-helical elements and three loops (D, anti-codon, and T loops). Lineage: Eukaryota; Metazoa; Xenacoelomorpha; Acoela; Hofsteniidae. The record is from RNAcentral.
GCAUUGGUUGUCUAGUGGUAUGAUGUCAUUCUUCUACGGUGGUGACGCGGGUUUGAUUCACGGCCAAUGCA